Non-coding RNA from Python bivittatus (Burmese python), 1800 nucleotides. The record is from RefSeq and is a predicted model, not a curated record. NCBI's taxonomy places the organism in Eukaryota, Metazoa, Chordata, Lepidosauria, Squamata, Pythonidae.
CAGGAUAACUGCUGCAAAUGUAAUAUUGUAAUGUAACUUAAAAAGGCACCGAGGGGGAAUUGCUUGAAAAUAUAUAGAGCUCCAUCACCACCACACCUUUUGCCCUUCCUGUCUCAGCCAAUGCAGGCUUCUGGUUUGUGUUGCUCCAUUUUGGCUUGCUUUUUCUUUCAGCCUGAUCUUGCAAAAGAGAGCUUUGCUUUUCCUUUAACUUAAUUUUUAAUGUUGGAGACCACACCCUUGUUGGCCACUUUCUACGUAUGUAAGGCCGCUUUCUACGUAUGUCCAACACUGACCAAUGAACACCUUAGCAGUUCUCUGUCUGUGAGGAAGCGGCCUCUGUUGUUUGUCUUAGUCAUAUUACUCGAGGCUUUCCCCUUUAUUGCCCCUGACAAAGAAAAUGUUACAGUCUGCUGCUUGGCUUUAUGAUUUUUGAAAGUGGAAACUGAAAAGAACAGAGGUGAAAUUAAGCCAUAUUCUUAUCACCUUUGUCAAAUGAGCUUCCAGAAUUCCCUGCUUUUCCCAGCUAUAAAAUCUGUAGGGUUACAAAAUGACUGUUUCUGGCCAAUAUAAGUCUACUCCAUCCUUUAAGAUUUACGGGCUGUCCCUUGAAUUAGUUUUAUUAAAUUUAUUUAUUUAUUUAUUUAGGCUCCCCACCCCCCACAAUUCUGAAUCCAUACGGACUAGGUUCUUGUUUUAAAGAAAAUAAAAAUGAACUUCUAGUUAAGCUCAUGCUAAGUUCCAUGUGUUGCAUUUGAUUCUGCACAUAUAUAUCCUUCCAAGAAUUUCCUAGAGCAUGAUUUCUACUGCGGCAUCACAGAAUACCUUGCAUUUAACUCUAUGGGUCUCUUUUUCAGGCUGUGCUGGUGGUACUCGGCCCGCUUCAGGCGGCUUCUGGUGUCCUCUUUCCACUGUUCUGAUACAGAUAACUUUGGCUUUUGCAUCUUCUCAGGUUCCCUGCUGGGAAAAAUACAACAGAUGAAGAGCCAGAGGAAAUGCUAGAGAGCGGGAAUCCAUCAAUAUUCACAUCUGGGAAAAGGCGUUUCCAUGCAACGGUCUUUGGGUCUUCUCUAGAUCAUGGAUUCCCAGAUCUCAAAGCAAGCGCUGAGUGAGAUUGAGGGACAGCAUAAGGAUAUUCUGCGACUUGAGAAUAGCAUCAAGGAGCUUCAUGACAUGUUUGUGGACACUGCCAUGCUGGUAAAAAAUCAGGUACUGUAAUUGAACUGUGGUGGAAGGAUGCCGGAUAUAUAGCCAAGGAGAUUAAAUAAACAUCUCUUUGAGAAAGAAUCAUCUUGGGGGACUGAAAUGAUAGAUCCUUGCAAGGAGCAGGAAAGGGGGAUGACAAUGAGUAAAUCUCCCACCAGUCUACUUCAGGGUCUUGUCAUAUUGCCAGCGCUCCAGCUCUGUUGUUUUCUUUGCUGCUUGGAAAAUAAAGUGUCCAUCUGACAUAUCAUUUCCAGAUGAAGCAAGAUAUGAACACAAAAGGAGCAAUGCGUGUUCCCCAAAUAAGACUAAGGGUUUUUUAUAAUACUCCAGGAGCUUGGGAAGGAAGAGGCACUCAACAGCACUGUCAACAAAAUAUAAGGGAGGGCUUAAGCAUAGGAUAGUGAAACCCAGAACAGACUGUUCGGAAACUAAGGAAUUAAGGAGGUCUGCAUAGUAAAGUGGGUAAGAUGUUGGCCUAAGACCUGGGAGGCCUGCUUCAGUUCCUCACUCAGCCACAGAAACUCAUUAGGUAAUUUGGGGCUAGUCAUGAUUUCUCAGCCCAACCCAGUGUUUCUCAACCUUGGCAACUUUGAGAUG